Molecule: ribosomal RNA, 301 nt
Filed under: uncultured bacterium
Lineage: Bacteria
Description: partial 16S ribosomal RNA
Rfam family: Bacterial small subunit ribosomal RNA
Source: RNAcentral
CAGUAGCCACGGUAAUACGGAGGGUGCAAGCGUUAAUCGGAAUUACUGGGCGUAAAGCGCACGCAGGCGGUCUGUCAAGUCAGAUGUGAAAUCCCCGGGCUUAACCUGGGAACUGCAUUUGAAACUGGCAGGCUAGAGUCUUGUAGAGGGGGGUAGAAUUCCAGGUGUAGCGGUGAAAUGCGUAGAGAUCUGGAGGAAUACCGGUGGCGAAGGCGGCCCCCUGGACAAAGACUGACGCUCAGGUGCGAAAGCGUGGGGAGCAAACAGGAUUAGAUACCCGCGUAGUCCCUGUCUCUUAUAU